RNAcentral lists this ribosomal RNA (951 nucleotides) under human gut metagenome. Its description in RNAcentral is "bacterial SSU rRNA". It matches the Rfam family "Bacterial small subunit ribosomal RNA", at positions 469 to 1419 of the family's 1533-position model. The record is from RNAcentral.
AGGACGGUAGAUGAGGAGGAAGCCCCGGCUAACUAUGUGCCAGCAGCCGCGGUAAAACAUAGGGGGCAAGCGUUGUCCGGAAUCACUGGGCGUAAAGGGCGCGCAGGCGGUCUGUUAAGUCAGAUGUGAAAGGUUAGGGCUCAACCCUGAACGUGCAUCUGAUACUGGCAGACUUGAGUAUGGAAGAGGUAAGUGGAAUUCCUAGUGUAGCGGUGAAAUGCGUAGAUAUUAGGAGGAACACCAGUGGCGAAGGCGACUUACUGGGCCAUAACUGACGCUGAGGCGCGAAAGCGUGGGGAGCAAACAGGAUUAGAUACCCUGGUAGUCCACGCCGUAAACGAUGGGUACUAGGUGUCGGAGGUUUCAAGACCGUCGGUGCCGCAGUUAACACAAUAAGUACCCCGCCUGGGGAGUACGGUCGCAAGACUGAAACUCAAAGGAAUUGACGGGGGCCCGCACAAGCGGUGGAGCAUGUGGUUUAAUUCGACGCAACGCGAAGAACCUUACCAAGACUUGACAUCCUGCUGCCGAGUGAUGUAAUGUCACUUUUCCUUCGGGACAGCAGAGACAGGUGGUGCAUGGUUGUCGUCAGCUCGUGUCGUGAGAUGUUGGGUUAAGUCCCGCAACGAGCGCAACCCUUGUCGUCAGUUGCCAUCAUUAAGUUGGGCACUCUGACGAGACUGCCGCAGACAAUGCGGAGGAAGGUGGGGAUGACGUCAAAUCAUCAUGCCCCUUAUGUCUUGGGCUACACACGUGCUACAAUGGUCGGUACAGAGGGCAGCGAAGGAGCGAUCCGGAGCCAAUCUCACAAAGCCGAUCCCAGUUCGGAUUGCAGGCUGCAACUCGCCUGCAUGAAGUCGGAAUCGCUAGUAAUCGCAGGUCAGCAUACUGCGGUGAAUACGUUCCCGGGCCUUGUACACACCGCCCGUCACACCACGAAAGUUGGUAACA